RNAcentral lists this ribosomal RNA (515 nucleotides) under uncultured bacterium. RNAcentral's name for it is "partial 16S ribosomal RNA". It matches the Rfam family "Bacterial small subunit ribosomal RNA", at positions 28 to 523 of the family's 1533-position model. The record is from RNAcentral.
GAUGAACGCUGGCGGCGUGCCUAAUACAUGCAAGUCGAGCGAAUGGAUUAAGAGCUUGCUCUUAUGAAGUUAGCGGCGGACGGGUGAGUAACACGUAGGCAACCUGCCCAUAAGACUGGGAUAACUCCGGGAAACCGGGGCUAAUACCGGAUAACAUUUUGAACCGCAUGGUUCGAAAUUGAAAGGCGGCUUCGGCUGUCACUUAUGGAUGGACCCGCGUCGCAUUAGCUAGUUGGUGAGGUAACGGCUCACCAAGGCAACGAUGCGUAGCCGACCUGAGAGGGUGAUCGGCCACACUGGGACUGAGACACGGCCCAGACUCCUACGGGAGGCAGCAGUAGGGAAUCUUCCGCAAUGGACGAAAGUCUGACGGAGCAACGCCGCGUGAGUGGUGAAGGCUUUCGGGUCGUAAAACUCUGUUGUUAGGGAAGAACAAGUGCUAGUUGAAUAAGCUGGCACCUUGACGGUACCUAACCAGAAAGCCACGGCUAACUACGUGCCAGCAGCCGCGGUAA